RNAcentral lists this long non-coding RNA (29998 nucleotides) under Theobroma cacao (cacao). RNAcentral describes it as "long non-coding RNA (TCAC_LNC004641)". The record is from RNAcentral. Lineage: Eukaryota; Viridiplantae; Streptophyta; Magnoliopsida; Malvales; Malvaceae.
AAGAAAAUAAGUUUGGGGGUGUGGAAUUGUGAAAAACAAAUGUGUUGAAAAAAAAAAGAAAAGUUCAAAUGUGGAAGAAAAAAUGUACUAGGAGAAGGAAAAUAGAGUUCUAUAUAUAGGUCUUAGAAUAAUUAUGUGCUUAGGGUGAUUUGAGCCACAUUAAUAUCCUUUAUCCUACCUUGACCCUAGCCAUACAUUACAAGCUUUAUAAAGUCCUAUUGAUCCCUAGCUUGGUGUUAGUCUACAUCAGUGGAGAGAGAGGUGAAAAGCAAACAUAUGGAGUUCUAAUACUAAUUUGAAAUUUGUGUUGGCAUAAACUCAUCUGGAUAUCUUGAUAUUCUUGGUAAAAGAUUUCACACACACAAGGAAAUCCAUUCGAGAAUGUGCUUGCAUUGGAAUUGAGGCAUGAAUUUAAAUGAUGCCUAUAUUUUUCCUUAGGUUAAUGAUUUAUAGAUGUACUUUUGAGGAAAUUAUAGAGAAUCUUUGAGUUGGUGCACUUUAUCUCUAGUAGUAGUAGUAGUAACUAUAUUUAUUUUAGUUUUAUUAACUGAAUUUGAUUUUCAUAAGUUAGUUUUUUCUUUAUUUUUUGCUCUAGGACUAGUAAAAUAUUAAGUUUGGGGGUGUGAUAACUAUAUGAUAUAGAGUUAUUUGUGCUUAAUUUUGAUAGUAAUUUAGUUUAGUUCCUGUCGUAAUUCAUAGAAUUAGUAAGCUUUAUUUAAUAAUUUUAAAUUAGUUAUUUUAGGUGAGUCAAUCUAAUUUUAGUUAAUUUUAUGCUUAAUUUGGUGUUAAUGUGAUUAAGAUAGGUUGUUGAUGAUUUAUUUAUGCUUUUAUAGGUUUAAUGAAGAAAGAAUUUUAAUGAAAGAAAGAGAGCAAUUUUGAGGUGCAAACUUUUACUGUACAUGUUUCGAUAUUUCAGUAAUAACUCUCUCUACAGAGCUUUAAAUGAAGUGAUUCUUGACCAUUGAAACUUUAAGAGAAAAAGCUCCAACUUUCAUGUUUACCAUUUCACCCAGUUCACCUAGAAGAUGGUUAAAAAUCUUGUUGAAGUUGAAGCACUGUAGUAAUCCUAGAGCAAUUAUGAUUUUUGUUAAUUAAUUAGGCAAGGCUGCGGCCCACAUAGUUUGAUGAGGAAAUCUCAACUGAAAUUGACUUUUUUCUUCACCCAACUUGGCCUAACUUCAAAGCCUUAUAAAAAUAACCUUUGAGGAGAGAACGAAACACUUGAUUGACAGUUGAGAGUCAAGCAGUAAAAUCAUUGAAGCUAAGAAGAAUUUAAAGGAUUCAAGGAGAAUUGGAGAUCAUGAAUACAAUCCUUGGUUUUUUCUAUCUUUUUGUUAUUCUCUUAUUCUCUUGGUUUUGUUUUUAAUGUUUAAACUUUAUCCAAUGAUGAUGUGUGACUUUAUGGGGAACUAAACUUUUUAUCUAAGUUUAUGAUUGAACUUAAUAUGUAGUCUAAUUUAUUUAUAUCUCUUUUACUUAUGUUUGAUGGAUUUAAGUUGUUUAUUUUGUUUUGUUUUUAAUGCUUCUGAUUGACUGGCCACCAAUUAAAUUAAAUUAGAAACCUAGGUUAAACCUUAACCUUGACGAAGGAGAUUUAGGUAGACCUUAAAUAGAAUACGAAUGAUCGAAUGCACUUAGUUGAUUUGCAUAUAGGGUAGACAUACACCUAUAAGCCAUACAUAGCCAAAAUUAGAGCGUGAACUUAAGAAAUAUUUCUUCAAUUUAAUUUGCAUAGACAUAUAAUAAAUUAAUUGGGAGAGGUAUUUUAAUGAGAAGCUCGACAGAGACUUCUAAUUAAUUUAGGACUCUAGGUUAGCAAUUUAAUCCAUUAAACUGAGUUAAGAGAUAAAGAUAAUAAUCAAAUAAAGUAUUGAGGGACAUCAUAAUCUUAGGUUUGGUAGUUAAGUGAGUUUUAUAAAAUAAAUUUACUAUUUAAUUUUAGUUUUAGUUUAUUAGUUUUAAUUUUUCUUUUGAAUAAUUUUAAAUUUAAUUGCUUAGAUAAGAUUAAGGUGCUACAAUUUUAGUAGUUAAUAGUAAGAAUUAAUUCAAUUUUCUUUGAGAUCGACACUCUACUCAUUACUAUAUUAUCUUUGCAAUAUGUAUACUUGCGUGGGUAGAAAAUUGAACAACAAGUUGCUUCCUCCAAUUUUAUCAAAACAAUUAUUGCUUUUCUUGCCAAUCUUGAUUCUUGGGUUAUAGAUUCUAGAGCAAACAAAUAUAAGACAUGCUCUUCCAAUAAGUUCUCAACUUGUUCUCUGUGUUUAGACAAUGAUAAAGUUCAUAUAGUGGAUGGAUCCUUAGCCUUUAUAUUUGGAACAAGUUCUAUUAAAUGUACUCCCACCAUUAAUCUAUCUUCGGUCCUUCAAGUUCCUAAUUUUCUUAUUAACCUUUUAUCAGUUAGUUUAAUUAUAAAAGCCCUUGAUUGCAAAAUUGAAUUCUUUCCUACUCAAAUGUGUUUUACAAGACCUCAAAACAAGGAGAACGAUUGGCUUUGGUAGACUACAAAAUGGCUUGUAUAUACUAGAGGAAGGUUGCAGUACCUUGAUUCCUAGUAUAACUUGAGCCCUAUUAGCAGAAUAUAUGAAUGUUUAAAGAAUGCAAGUUGGAUUUAUUAUUUUGUGAUGCUUAUGAAUUUUCUAAACACACCGGACUUUCUUAUCCUUCGAUUAAUAAUAAGAGUUCAGUUCUAUGACUAUUCAUUUUGAUGUAUGGGGACCUUGUCAAACAGUUUCUCUAUCUGGUCAUAGAUAGUUUGUUACCUUUAUUGAUUGCUGUACUAGAUUAACUUGGGUUUAUUUGAUGAAAGCAGGAAUGAGGUUUUUCUUAUUUUCAACUAUUUCGCAAAAUUAUUUGUACACAAUUUGAUGCCAAGGUUAAGAUUCUGAGAACCGAUAAUGGUACAAAAUACAUGGGUGGUGUGUUUAGUGCAUAUCUAGAUUCCAACGGGAUCUUGCACCAAACUAGUUGUGUGGAAACUAGUGCACACAAUGGAGUGUCUGAGAGGAAGAACAUGCAUUUAUUAUAAGUGGUUUGAUCUCUCAUGUUUACUAUGAAUGUUCUAAAGGUUUGUUGGGGUGAUGCAUUACUUUCAGUCGCAUAUCUUAUUAACAGAAUGCAUUUAAAAACAUUUCAUUUAAAGAGUACUUUAGAAGUUCUACAAGGUAGUAAUUCAUAUACUAUUCUUUCAAAAAUUUUUGGAUGUGUGUGUUUUGUUCAUAAGAGAAAUGUAGGUAAGUUAGAACCUAAGGCCCUUAAAUGUGUGUUUGUUGGCUACUUUGCAACUCAAAAGGGAUAUAAGUGUUCUAAUCCACCCUCAAAAAAGUACUUUGUGAGCAUGAAUGUUACCUUCAGGGAGUCAGAGUCUUACUUUUAUACACUCAAUCACCUCUUCCUGGAAAAAAUAAGGAGGAAGAGGUGGAAGUGAUAUCACCUGCCUUUAUACAAUUUUCUAGUCAAAAUCCUAGUGAGGACAAAGGACAACCUAAAACUGGGAGAUUGGAUAUACUAGAUUUGAAAACCUACACAUGAUGUGACCAGACAGAUGGUUGAAGAAAUGAAGGAUUUGGCAAAAGCUGAGACUUGGGAACUUGUUACUUCCCCAUUGGAAAAAAAACUAGUUGGAUGCAAAUGAGUGUUUAUAGUGAAACAUAAGGCAAAUGGUUCGAUUGAAAGGUAUAACGCUAAACUGGUGGCAAAAGGCUUCACCUAAACCUAUGGGUGGACUAUCAAGAAACUUUUGCUCUUGCAAAAUGAAACUAUCAGAAUCAUGCUCUCCUAUGUAGCUAACUUUGAUUAGGACCUACAACAGUUUGAUAUCAAGAAUGCCUUCCUACAUAAGGACUUGGAGGAAGAGGUGUAUAUGGAAAUUCCUCCAAGAUAUAAUGAUAAGAAGACUAAAGGAAAGAUUAGUAGAUUAAAGAAGGCAUUUUAUGGUUUGAAGCAAUCACCUAGGGCAUGAUUCGAUAGGUUCAGUAAGGCCAUGAUCUCAUUUAGAUAUUGUUAGACAAAUAAGCUCCAAGUAAAGUAACCUAGAGGAGGUGUGUUGGUUAUCAAAUAAAAAUUUCCCCUUUUUAGAUUUUUCAACACAGCUAAAGUAUAAAGAGCAGAGUUAUAAAAACAGAGUAUAAAUUAAGUUGUUGUCAUUUUAAUACAUGCAAGUGGAUGUGGCUGUACAAGUAAUAUAAAGGUAAGUCGAGUAUCGUUUCCCACAAAGAUUUGUACCUAUUCUUACAAAGUACUAAAUUUAUAACAAAAUCUAUCUUAUCUAAGCACUAAAUUUUAAAUGAUUGUUUAAACUAAAAAUGCUCUUUAAAACUAAGUAAAUAAAGAAUAAUAGAAUUUCACUAAAAGAGAUAUUAAUUCAAAAGCCUAGGAUUAGGGUGUCUUUCAAAACUUCACCUGAAUUUAAUCAUUCUCCUUAACUUAGAUUAAUGGGAUAUAUGGCUAACCUAGAAUCCAUAUUAUGUACAAGUCUCUGUUGAGAUCUUGCACACACACCUUUUCAAAACUAAUUCCAUAUGUCUAUGUAAAUUAAUUAGAAAAGGUUCAUUAUGUUUGUUUUCCAAUUUGGCUGCCUAAGGUAUUUUGGUGUAUGUCUAUCCUAAAUACGAAACUAUCACCUAACUUUGAAGUGAAUUGAACAAAAGCUAUUUAAAAUAAUGGUUUAUUCUAAGCUCCGUCUAUUGAGUUCUAUUUAGAGACCCAAUAUUUUAGCAAGUGAUCAAGCAGUGAAAAGCAAUAAGUACAGAAUUGAAUAAACCAUGCAUCAUCCAUUAAUAUUAAGCAAAGAGAAAUCAUAUCUUCAAACUACAUAAUGAAAUAACCCAUAAUCCUAGAAAACAAAUUCAGUUCAUCAUUGUUUUUACAGUAGACAUAAUUAUUUCAAAAGAAAAGAUCAUUGCCAUAGUGAAAGAACUAGAAAGAAUAGAAGAGUGAAGAAAUAUCAAAGCCUAUUUCGAUUCUCGAUCUUCGGUUGCCUUUGAUUUUCUCUUUCUUUUCCCUCAAAAAACUGCUAUUCAUUCACUAUUUGAGCCCCUUCUCUCAACUACUGAAAAUCACCUAUUUAUAGCCUCUAUAAAACCUUAAAAACUCAUGUUUUGAUUGGCUGCAAAUUCAUAAUCCAUGUCAGAGAGCCGUGGCCUUGCUUCAUAGGGGUCAAGGCAUUGCUGAUUUAUAUAUUUUUUUUUCGUGGUUUUUCAACUGGUUCCAUGGCACUCCUCUUAGGGCACUGUGGCACUAGCUUCUCGACAAUUUGUAUGGAAGCAUCACUGCUCCCUUGGGAGCAGUGGCUUUAAGCUUUGCAAGGCUGCAACGCUGCUCUUUGUGCUGCCUUGGUGCUGAAUUACUACAGUUCUUUGUUUGCAAUGCUAUUUUUUCCUACCUCAAGUCUGAUCUGGGUGAAAUGGUAAACAUGAAAGUUGUCGCUAUACCUUUUAGCUUUGCUUUGGCCCAAGAAUCAUGUUCAUUGGAUCUCUGUAGCUGGAGUUAUGUCUGACUUAUAGCAACAUGUUUAGUGCAAAUCUGCACUUAAUCUCCAUUGCAUAGUCCAUCAUUAUUGAACUUUUUACCUUUAAAAACCUACAACCACAAGAACUAAACCAGCAUUGGCUUAAAAUAGGACUUUCAACAUGAAAAUGAGCUAGAAUUACUUGAAUUAACUAAGUUAACAUGCUUUAAAACUAAUUAACUAAAAACCUAAAAACUAUUUAAAAACUACUUAAAACACAAAGACUUAGCUACAUUCACAUCCCAAAAUGUGGCUAAAUAACUCUAUAUAAUGGAGUUAUCACACCCCCAAACUUAAUAUUUUGCUAGUCCUUGAGCAAAAUUAAAAUUAAAAUGUCAAGCCCAGCUCUACAAUAUGUUUAUUAUGCCAUUCUUACAUAAGAAUGUAUGUUUGCUUACUUAGGUACCUCGAAAAUCGUUACAGGAUAACAAUGUACCAAAUGGUACAAUUAAGUUGAAUUAAGCCUCAAACUAGACCAAAUAGAGAUUUUAAAAUGAAAUUGAGAAUUUUAAAACCCCAGUAUGACUUAAAAUGGUGAUUCAGAGUUCGAGGACCGAUUUGGAGUCAAAUUGGAAUUUUCAUGACCUAAGGGUAAAAUGGUCAUUUUGCCACUCGAGGCUAAGAUGUGAGUGUUGGAUGAAAUUUUUCACUAAGAUUGAUCAUUUGGAGUAUAAUUUGAGUUUGAGAAGUGAAAAAUUUUAAUUCAGACAUUUUUUCGAGCAUAGGGGUAAAAUAGUCAUUUUAUCGUCCAAAGGCAAAAUCAAAAUUUUACAUAACCCAACACUUGUCCAGCACAUGGAUUUUACCCAAUAUUAUCAUGGAUAAUUGAGGAAAUUUAAGUGGUGGAGAGAGAUUACUUAAUGGGUAAGUAUGACACAUGGACCAAUGGAAUGGUGACACAUGGUAAAUUUUUGUCCAUUUAAUAUUUUCCUUUAUAAAGCCAAUUUGAACUCUUCCACAUUCAUUCUUAUGGCCAGCCAUAGCAAGGAAAAAGGAAGAAAAGAAGAACAAAAACCCUAGAGUGAAAAUUCAAGAGAAAAUUGGUGGAUUUCAAGUAAUCAAGCCAUCAAAGGUGAAAUUUCUUAACUCUAGCUUGUCAUCUAUCUUUCCUAUGCAUUAUUUUGCAUUUUCUAUGGUUGAAUCACAAGAUAUCAUGAAGGAUAGUGUGCUGAUCAAACCAUAGGAGAGAGAAUUUGAUGAUGAUUUAGAUAGAUUUUUAAGAUAUAUGGAUGUUUUUAGUUGUUUAUGGUGUUAAGUGUAAGCUUGAAAUUCACAUAUUCCUCAUGAGUUCAUCAUUGGCCGAAUCUUCCUUGUAGAGUGUUGAUGGUGGAUUUGAUUUUAUUUCAAGUGAAUUGGUUAGGAAUUAGUGAUUUAUGGUGUGAAAAUCAAGCUUGAAAAAUUAUAGUGUUGAUGCACCCACCAUGGCCGAAUUUUUCAAGAGAAAAUGUGAGGAUGAUUUUGCCAUAUUUCAAGUUAUUUAAUUUGUGUUUGAUGAUUUGGAGUAUUGGGAGAAAAAUGGAGUUAAUUGGAGUUAAAUUGGACAUAUUGGCCAAUUAAUCGAGUGAUAGAUCGAAUUAAGCCAAUACCGUUUUAUUUAGGUACACAAUUGAAUUUGUGUAGAACAUCGUGUUUAGACGAUAAUCCGAACAAUUUGCAUUCCAUUUCAUGCAUUAGUAAAGAGCUUGAAAUAGAUUUAUAAUAAUAUGACACAGUAUAUUGAAUUAUGUGUCGUGUAUUGUAUAUAGGUGGUGAGCCCUUUAACAAGGGUAAAGACGUUGUAUCAGAGGACUGAGAAUAGGAGUAUUUCAAACUCCUGAUACAGUGAGUAACCUUACUAUCAUCUUAAUUAUCUAAAGUGGUUUUUAUCCGAUUUUGUGAUUUUAUGAAAAAUGAGUUUAAAUGGUAAAUCUUUAUGUUUUAUAAGCAAAAUGUUAUUAAAUGAAAUGAUUUUAUAAAAUUGUUUUGAAAUCGAAUGAUGGUUUUGAAAAUGGAGUAAUUGGAGACUAAUUGUUGUGUUAUAAAUCAUGGUUUGAAUUGAAUGGCUUAUGAUAAUAUUUUCAUGAAUGGUUGAAUUAGUAAAUGUGCUGAAAAUAUAUGAACUAUUGAUUUGCCUUGAGAGGCUGUAAAAUAAAAUAAUUGCCAUGUCAUGCUAUCACAAAUUUUAUUGAAUUGGUGGGUUAAAAAUUGGUCGCUGUAGUGGACGGGUUCCGUGGACCAGCCUAUUAGAGGGGCAUGGUAACCCUAUUAUAUUCAUACCUUAGUAUGAGAGGUGCGGUUGGAUAACUCCUGAGGUUAAAACUUUAGAGUUCACUUCAUGCCAAACCACCAUGUGAGGGUGAACUCAGCCAACGCCAAGGAACGACUAUGUUUUCAAAAUAAAAAAACAUGAUUUAUGCGUACAUGUAUUUUUAACAACCUUGGCAGACUCGGUUAGGAUAGCCCUCGGCCAAGGUAUCCCUGAUAACUGAGUAUGAGAAUGAUUUUGGCACGAGCCAAAGUUUUAAGAAAUUCAUAAGCCAUGUUGAUUACUCGAUUUAUAUGAAUUGAUUUUAUUUGGUUGAAAUGAGUUGAAAAGUGAUAAAUUACAAUAUGUUAAAUUAUUUUGUUUGUCUCAAUUUACUCAGGUUUAGAUAUUUUAGAUGGUAUUUGUUUACUCACUGGGAUUAUAUAAUCUCACAACCCUCCUUUCCACCCCUUUCAGGCUCAAGAUAGUCGAUAGAUAGCUCACUUUGUUGAGGGCUACAGUUGGACUUGCAUCCUCAAAAACUGUAGGUUUAUCGCUUUUGAUACUUUUAGUGGUUCGUGGGCCCAUGUGUCACUGUAAAUUAAAUCUUAUGCUUUGGUUAUCUGUAUUAUAAUAUGUAUGAAUUUAUUUAGCUUUUACAGUACAAAAAUUAUUUACCGGUAACUCUGUAAAUAUUAUUUUAUAAGAAAAUAGAAUAUUUUAUUGAAUAUUUUUAUUAUAUUCAAAUAGUUAUAAUUUCACUUUAAAUGAAUGUUUUAGAUAUCUAAACUUAUUUUUGAUUAUGAAAUAUGUGUUUUCCACUCGCAUACUAUAUUUUAGCUGGUUUCAAAAUUUUUGGGGAAAAAUGACCAAAAUGCCCCUGUAAGAUAGAAAUCAUUUUUUUUAUUGAUUUAAGUUGGAAAUAGCUUAAAAUCUUUUAGAACAUGAUAUUUGGUAACGGUUACUCACAUGGGAAAUGAGAAACUGAUAUUAAAUCCUUGCGGGGUUCCGAUUGACAUUUCUGCUAAUGAGUGUAGAUCGGGACACCGCGGCGGUUGUCACGGGCUCGAGAGGAGUACCGGGUCGUGACAUAAAAUUAAGAAAGCAUAGUUGAAAACACCAUGCAAGGAGAUUUCACCAAUUCAUUGAUCACCCCUAAUUUUCCUCAUAAAUUGCCUUAUCUUCCUAACUCCAAACAACAAAUGGAUAUUAUCUAAGUUCAUAUUUCAUCCAAAUGCAUGCUCAUUUUUCUAUUGGGUUUCCAUGAGUGUAUGUAGUUUUUUACAAUGAACAUCAUGCACUUCGGGAAAGAUUAUGUUCAUGCAAAUCUCAACAAGCUUAGAAUUUCAUAUGUUCUUUUUUCAUCUCCCUCUCCAUUAAUGUAGGCCAUCACUUAGCUAUGGAUCCUUAGGACUUUAUUUAGCUUAUAAUGUUUGGCUAGGUUAAGGUGUGAUAUAGGAUAUUAAGGCUCAAAUCACCCUAAGCAUAUAAUUAUUCUAGGAUCUAUGUAGCCUUAUCUUCCUUCACAAAGUACACCUUUCUCUUUCUUUUCACUUUUCAUUAAUCAACCAUUUUUUUAAUUCAAAAUUCAACAUCCCCUCAAACUUGUUUUUGUCAAUGUUAGUAAAAUGAAUGCUUCACAUAAUAGUUGGAAUUUUUCUCAACUCAUCUUUUCUACCUUUUCAACUAUUGAUCCAUAUAUAAUUCCUAAAACAAUGUACAUGCUUAGGAGUGAGGGUAGUGGAAUUGAAAAUUUAUUUACAAGCUAGGAUAAUUUAUUUAUAGUUGACAAAGAAAAGAAUAAAUUUAGGCUCAAAGGGGUGUAUUAGGGAUAGAAUUCGACUAGGUUAGCUCAAAAGACCCAAUUAACCCAAAGGUGGCCUAAGUCAUUUCCUAGUUAAGUGUAAUCUAGAAUUUUGCCUUAAGAAAAGAUCAAAUAAAUUCUAAAAUUCUAAACGUAGUUUAAAGAUUCACACUCACAUAAUCGUUCUUUAAAUGUUGAUCUUUGACUUUUUUACUUGACUAGUGCCCUCACAACAGUUUUCUAAAGUCUCUUAAAUCUCUUUUGCUAAGGAACACAUAGCUACCCAAUUGAAUUCAUCUUCACUAAAGCACAUAGAAUAGCUAUUAUAGCUUUGUGAUUUAGCUAUAUCAUAUUUUUAUCUUUAUCAUCCCAUUUAGCUUUAGUUUUAAGGUGUUUCACACCAUCCACAAUUUUUGUAGGAAUAUGAGGUCUACCAACAAUAAUAUCCUAAAGAUCUAAAUCAAUAACUCGGAUAAAAUUUUCAAAUCUCAUUUUUCAGAAUGGGUAGUUCUCUUUUUUUAACAAAAAAAGGCUGCAUCAUAGAUUGUCCUUCACUAAUGACGCUUGAGAAUGAUGCCAUGGUUGUUACUUUUAGCAUUUUAUUUCGGAUCUCUCAAAGGUGGUUAAACCUGCAUUGAACAUGAGAACUUACUUUGAUUCUAAUUGUUAGAAAAAGAUAAGCUUAAAGUAGAACUACUAAGAGGGGGGUGAAUUGGUUGUUAAGUAAAAAUUCCUUUUUUUUUCAAAAAUCAGUUCAACUUUCAAAGAUUAAAACAAUAAAACAGAGUAUAAAUUAAAUAAGUAAAGAACAGUAAAUAAAGAAAGGGCACAACAAAAUUUUUAUAGACGUUCGGCCUUCCAUUGCCUACAUCCUUUCCCUUAAUAGCACAAGAAAUUUGAAUAUAUUAUCAACUUGCCUUUUUAAUAGUAUCAGACGCAACCUUUACAACGUGCCUUUUGUAGGAUCAGGCAUCAACUCUAGAACUUGUCUUUUCCUAUAUCAGACGUAACCUCUACCAAGAUGCUGCUUUUUCCAAUUAAAGUGCAACCUUUACAUAAGAGAAAGCCUUUUAAAGGAUCAGGAAAAACCUAUCAAGCCUAGCCCUAAAUUAUUUACCAUGUUACACAUGAGACUGAUAGAGUGAUUGUAUAUUUGAACAGCCCCGGAAGAAUAUUUAAAAGUCGGUAUUGUGCUUAGAAGUACAAGUAGGUCGAUUAUACCUCGAACUAAUUAAAAUAGCGAUUUUAAGGUGAAAUUAAGAGUUUCAUAGUCCAGGGAUGACUCAAAAUGGUAAUUCGAAGUUCGAGUAUCAAUUUGGAGUCAAACCGAAAUUUUCACUAUCUAGAGGCAAAAUGGUCAUUUGCCACUUGGGGACAAAAUGGGAAUUUUUAGAAAAGCUUUUAUUGGCCCCAUUUGACUUAUUGGAGUAUGAUUUGAGGUUUAGAAGUGAAAAAUAUUAAUUCUGGUAUAAUUUGGAGUAUAGGGGCAAAAUGGUAUUUUUAUCACCCCGGGGGUAAAUCGGUAAAUUUUCACCCUCGACACUUGUCAAGACCAAGGGAUUUUAUUCAUCAUGAAAAUGGAUAAACAUGAGAAAUGUGUGGUGGAGAAUUAAAGAAUUAAAAGUCAAAUAUUUAAAAUUUGAACCAAUAAGGAAAUGCCAUGUGUCAUGCUUUUAUUAUUUUAUUGUUUCUUUAUAAAAAGGCAUAAAAAUCAGCCCAUUUCUUUAAUAUGGCCGGCCAAACCAAGAGCAAAGAAGAACAAAGGGAGAAAAGGAAAACAAAAACCCUAGGUGAAGAAAUUCAAGAGAAAAUUGGUGAAAAUUCAAGGAAACAAGUGACAAAAGGUAAAAUUUCUUGAUUUUGACUUGUGAUCUACCUUUCCCAUGCAUUUCUACUCAUUUUCCAUGGUUAAAUUACAUGUUUUCAUGAUGAAUUCAUGGAUGGUUGGAAUGGGUAUGGAGAGAGAAUGAUGUAAGAUUGAUUUGAUUCUAAGUUAUGUUAGUGUUUUUAAUUAGUUAAGCAUGUUUAGAAACAAAACAACUAGAAAAAAAUCUAUUUUCCCCAUGAACCUUCAAUGGCCGAACCCUAUGUGAAGUGUAGAAGUAAUGAAUUGAUUUUGUGAUCAAGUGAAUUGGUUGAAAAAUUGAUGAAAUGAUGAUUUAUGGUGAGAAAAUGGAAUGGAAAAAUUUUUAGUGAUAGUGCACCACAAUGGCUGAAAUUUUCAAGAGGAAUUGUGAGGGUUGUUAGGCUGAAUUUUAGAUUAUUGAAAUUGUAUUUAGUGAAUUGAAAUAUUAGAAAUGAAAUGGAGCAAUUUGGAGCCAAAUCGGACACAAUUGUCAUUUAAUCGGGUAAUAGGCUGAAUUAGGUCAGCACCGCAUUUAAGCGGCAGUCGGAUAAGUUGCAUAUCAUAUCAUGCAUAUACACCGAGCCUGAAUUGAUUUUAUAAUGGUCAAGCAUUGAUGUGGUGAAUUAUGCAUUGUACAUUGUGGAUAGGUGGUGAGUAAAUUACACUGGUAAAAGUACAGAGAUUGUGCUUGGAGACUGGAAUUAGGAGUACAUCAACUCCUAGAACUGUGAGUGAACUUAUUAUCGUCUUAAUUAUCUAGAGUAGUUUAAUACAAUUGUGUGAUUUUAUGAAAAAUGAGUUUAAAUGGUUAAUUGCUAUGUUUUAGGAGAAAUUGUGAUUUUAUAAAAAUAUUUUAUAAAUUUUUUGGAAAAUUGAAUACUGGUUUUGAAAAUAGAGUAAUUGGAGACUGCCUGCUUGUGUUGUAAAUUUAUGGUUUUAAAUUGAAUGGCUUAUGACAAUAUAUGAGCAUGAAUGGCUAAACUGAUUUUUGUUGUUAGAAUUAUUUGUAUUGUGUAUUUAGCCUUGAGAGGCUAGGUUGCGAUAAAUUGUCAUGUCAUGCAGAAAAAGAUUUUAUAAAUCAAGUGGUAGAUAAUCCAUAGUCACUGUAGUGGUGGGGGUUUCCGUGGACUGCUUAUGAGAGGGGCACGGUAACUCAAUUAUAUAUUUACCUCCGGAGGGAGAUGUUGGAUGACGUACCUCCUGAGGUAAAUAUUUGAGUGCACUUCACGUGGACCACCGCGUGAGAGUGAGACUCAGCCAAUGCCAAGGCAUGGCUAAAAUUUCGGAUGUAAAGACAUUUAAUAGCCUUGGCAGACUCGAUUGGGAUAACCCUCGAUCAAGGUAUCCCUGAUAACUGAGUAUGAAAAUGAUUUUUGGCACGAGCCAAGCUUUUUAGGAAAUCAUAAGCCUAUUUGUUUAUUUGGUUGAAACGAGUUGAAAGGUAAUGAAAUUACAGUAUGAUGACUUAUUUUAAUUCAUCUCCAUUUACUCACCUUUAGAUAGUUUAGAUGGUGUCUGUUUACUCACUGGAAUUUUAUAAUCUCACCACCCUCAUUUCCUCACAUUUCAGGCUCGGAGAAUUCCAUAGUUAGUUGACUUUGACAAAGACCUUCAUUUGGACUUGAAUAAGCAAAAGCUGUAAGUUUUCAGCUUCAGAUGCAUUUUGGUUAGAUGUGGGCCCAUGUGUCACUGUAAAAGUAAUUUAUGCUUUGGCUAUUCGCUUUAUAGUAUAUAUGAAUAUAAUUAACUUUUACGCUAUAAGAAUUAUUUACCGAUAGCUUUAUAAAAAUUAUUUUACUAGAAAAUAGUUUAUUUUAUUGAAUAUUUUUAUUAUAUUCAAAUGGUCAAAUUUUCACUUCAAAUGAACGUUUUAGAUACUUAAUUUGUUUUUAAAUCACUAAAUAUAUAUUUUCUGCUUACCUACUACAUUUUUAGCAAGUUUUGAGAUUUUUGACGAAAAAUGACGAAAAUNNNNNNNNNNNNNNNNNNNNNNNNNNNNNNNNNNNNNNNNNNNNNNNNNNNNNNNNNNNNNNNNNNNNNNNNNNNNNNNNNNNNNNNNNNNNNNNNNNNNNNNNNNNNNNNNNNNNNNNNNNNNNNNNNNNNNNNNNNNNNNNNNNNNNNNNNNNNNNNNNNNNNNNNNNNNNNNNNNNNNNNNNNNNNNNNNNNNNNNNNNNNNNNNNNNNNNNNNNNNNNNNNNNNNNNNNNNNNNNNNNNNNNNNNNNNNNNNNNNNNNNNNNNNNNNNNNNNNNNNNNNNNNNNNNNNNNNNNNNNNNNNNNNNNNNNNNNNNNNNNNNNNNNNNNNNNNNNNNNNNNNNNNNNNNNNNNNNNNNNNNNNNNNNNNNNNNNNNNNNNNNNNNNNNNNNNNNNNNNNNNNNNNNNNNNNNNNNNNNNNNNNNNNNNNNNNNNNNNNNNNNNNNNNNNNNNNNNNNNNNNNNNNNNNNNNNNNNNNNNNNNNNNNNNNNNNNNNNNNNNNNNNNNNNNNNNNNNNNNNNNNNNNNNNNNNNNNNNNNNNNNNNNNNNNNNNNNNNNNNNNNNNNNNNNNNNNNNNNNNNNNNNNNNNNNNNNNNNNNNNNNNNNNAAAAAUGACCAAAAAUACCCUUGGUGAGACGAAAAAUUAAUAUUUUAUUUGUUUAAAGUUGGAAACAGCUUAAAAUCUUUUAGAAAACGAUAUUUGACAAUGGUUGCUCACAAAGGAAUAGAGAAACUGAUAGUAAAGCCUUUGCGAGGUUUCGGGUUGACAUUUCGGGCAAUAAGUGUCUACCGGGACACCGCAGCGGUUGUCACGGGCUCUAGGGGAGUACCGAGUCGUGACAAUAAUCAAGUCAUUUCUUUUGCAAACUUGAUCCUUGGGCUGGCACAUAUAAUUUUGAAAACAAUAGACUAUUGAGAAAAUCAAAAGCUUGAUCAUCCAUAUUAAAAGUAUGUUCAAACAAUUAAAGCAUUUCAAUAUAUUUUUCUAUUUAGGUCAAUUUUAACGUUCUUUGAAGAUUUUUAUUCAUACUAAAAAAUGUCUUUCAUUUUCAAAGCUCAUUAAGUUCAAUCAAUUUUGUCAUGUGAAAACAAGAAUAAAGUGAACAAAAAGCAAUCUAGCAAUGCCUUUAGUGUUGAAAAAUGACAAAAAAAAAACAUUUAAAGAUGCUUUCUAUCAAAAGUUGGUUGAGCAAAGUCUUUGCCAACCAUGUCUUGCAUUCUAGUUCAUAUAGUUAAAACAUAGACUAGAAACAACCCGUGGUGUGCACACGGACAACAGCAGCACUAGUUAGUAAUGAUAUAACAUUUGUGCUAAAUUUGUUAUUAUGAAUUUCUCUAUUUAAUUGAGAAAACUCUUGGUGGUGUUUGGUAUUAGGGAUGUGCACCUACAUUUCCUACAAUAUGCCUAAUUAAAUUACAUUGCCGCGUUUAUUUUGAAACAAGCCAAUGCAAUGUAAGAUCUUCUUUCCCAAAAUACCAUGAACUCCUUGAUUGCUGAAAUCGACAACUACUUCGACAGUAAGAUCAAAAAGUUAUAGCAUGAAAGAGAAGAAGAUGAAUCAGUUUAAGAAAAAGUUUGAUUAGAUAGUUGAUCCUUAAGUCAAUCCAUUAAAAGACAUAUAUCAUUUUGUGGAACAAAUUUAUUGUAACUCUUAAAACAUCUAAACUUUUAAUUUUAUCAAGUGACUUUCGCAUACAUUCAUUCACAUAUUUUUUUAUAUCUAUUGAUUGACAUGGUUGACAACUUUCUAUGCUUUAUCCUUAAGUGUUAAUUGAUGAUUAAUGGAACUUACAUGAAAUGCCCCAUACUUUGAUAUGGUGAUAAAUAAGUUAGUCGGAUGCGAAUUGAGGCAUAAUAAGGAACUUUUGGAAUCAAAAAGACAAGAUAAAAUUUUUAGAAUAAAACAAUAUUUUAUUAAUGAAAUAAUAUUAAAAUAUUAAUAUUUAGACGGAUGUCGAAAUCAGUCAUGAAGAAGGAUCAUAUGCUUGAUCCAAGUGGGGGAGAAACUGUCAAGCCUGACUCUGUAAAAUACUUGUCACGACAUGCAUGUGAUUGACUGAAUGUUUACAUACUACGAGAGCCUCGAAAAAUCGACAAAAGUCGGUACUGUACCUAGAGGUACAACAAAGUUGAUUUAAGCCUUGAACUAGAUCAAAUACAAAAUUUAAGAGGAAAUUAAGAAUUUUAAAGUCCCAGAAUGGUUUAAUAUGGUGAUUUAGAGUUCGAGGAUCAAUUUGGAGUCAAAUUGGAAAUUUCACUAUCUAGGGGCAAAAUGGUAAUUUUGCCACUCGAGGACAAAAUGGGGAAUUUUUUUUCAAAGAUUUUGAUCAUAUUUGACUUAUUGGAGUGUGAUUUGAGGUUGAGAAGUGAAAAUUUGUAAUUUUGGUAUUUUUCGAAGUAUAGGGGUAAAAUGAUAAUUUUACCACCCCAGGGGCAAAACAGUAAUUUUUCACCACCAAAACACUUGUCCAGCAUAUGGAUUUUAUGCAAUUUUAUCAUGGAUAAUUGAAGGAAUUUAUAUGGUGGAGAGAGAAAGCUUAAUAGUUAAGAAAUAAAAAUGGACCAAUGAAAUGGUGACACAUGGCAUAUUUAUAACCAUUAAAUAUUUAGCUUUAAAAUUAAUACAAAAUCAGCCCAUUUCUCAUUGAUAUGGCCGGCCAAAGAAGAACAAAGGAGGAAAGGAAAAAAAAACAAGAACCCUAGGUGGGAAAAUUGAAGAAAAAGUGUGGGAUUUCAAGGGAUUAAGCUAAUAAAGGUAAAAUUUAUUGAUUUUGACUUGUGAUUUACACUACCCAUGCUUUCUUUUUCAUUUUCCAUGGUUAGAUUUCAUGUUUUCAUGGUGAAUUCAUGGCUGGUUGGAAUGGGUAUGGAGAGAGAAUGAAGUUGGAUUGAUUUGAUUCUAAGUUAUGUUAGUGUUUUUAGUUAGUUUAUCAUGUCUAGAAACAAACCAACAAGAAAAAUUCAUUUUCUCCCAUUACCCAUCAUUGGCCGAAUUUUCUAGGGAGGAUAUUGUGGCUGAAAUUGAUGAUAUUUCAUGAUAUUUUGGUGAUAUUUGAUGUUUGGUGAGGCUAGAAAUUAAAUGGGAAAUUUUGGUGUGAAAAUUCAAAUUUUUGAUUAACGUAUAGACAUGUGUGAUUAUUGACUCGGGACUGAUAAAUUGAAUCUCAUUCACAGUCACUGAGGUAAUUUAGGUAUAAUUGGAGUGUAGAAAGUGAGAAGAAUUGAUUUGGAGUUAAAUUGGAGAUUUUAGCCGAUUAGACCCAGUAUAGUGUGACUUAGGUCGAAUAUCACAUUUAAGUGAUUAAUCAGACAUUUUGCAUCCCAUCGCAUGCAUUCAUUUGGAUUUAAAGAGCCUGAAAUAGUUUAUGAUAAAUUGACACAGUUUAUUGAAAUUCGUGUCACGUGUGAUGUAUAGGUGGUGAGCCCUCUAACAAGGGUAAAGAGAUUGUGCCCGAAUACCGGGAAUAAAAGUAUAUCAAACUCCUAGUACAGUGAGUAACCUUACUGUCGUCUUAAUUAUCUAGAGUGGUUUUUAUUCGAUUUUGUGGAUUUUAUGGAAAUGAGUUUAAAUGGUAAAUCUUUUUGUUUUACAAACAAAACGUGUUUAAAUUAAAUGAUUUUAUAAAUUGUCUUGAAAUUAAAUGAUGACUUUGAAAAUAGAGUAACUGGAGACCACUUGAGGUGUUGUAAAUUCAUGGUUUGAAUUGACUGGCUUAUAACAAUAUUUGCAUGAAUGGUUGAAUUGGUAUUUAUGUUGAAAUAUAUGAACUGUGUAUUUAGCCUUGAAAGGCUGUGAAUUAUAAUAAUUACCAUAUCAUGUUAUUGAAUUUUAUUGAUUGGUGGGAUAAUGAUGAGCUUACUGUAGUGGGCGGGUUUUCGUGGACCAACCUAUUAGAAGGGCACGGUAAACCCCGUUAUAUCUUACCUCAGUAUGAGAGGCGCGAGUGGAUAACUCCUGAGGCUGACACUUUUAGAGUUCACUUCACGCCAAACCACCACAUGAGGGUGAACUCAGCCAACGCCAAUGAACGGCUAUGUUUUCAAAAUAAAAACAUAAUUUAUGUGUACAUGACUUUUUAACAGCCUUUGCGGACUCGGUUGGGAUAGCCCUCGAUCAAGGCAUCCCUAAUAACUGAGUAUGAGAAUGAUUUUUGGCACGAGUCAAGCUUUUCAGGAAAUCAUAGGCCUAGUUGUUUAUUUGGUUGAAAUAAGUUGAAAGGUAAUGAAAUUACAGUAUGAUGAUUUAUUUUAAUUGCCUCCAUUUACUCGGCUUUAGAUAUUUUAGAUGGUAUUUGUUUACUCACUGGGAUUAUAUAAUCUCAUCACCCUCCUUUCCACCCAUUUCAAGCUCAGGAUAGUGUGUAGAUAGCUGAUAUCGUCAAAGGCUAUGGUCGGCUUUACUACUCCAAAAAUUAUUGGUUUACUGCCUUUGUGCACUUUUGUUCCUUGUGGGCCCACAAGUCACUGUAAAGUAAAUUUCAUAUCCCGGUUAUCUGUAUUGUAGUACGUAUGAAUUUAUUUAGCUUAUACAUUCCAAAAAAAAUUAAUUAUCGAUGACUCUAUAAAUAUUGUUUUACAAGAAAUUAGAAUAUUUUAUUGAAUAUUUUUAUUUUAUUCAAAUAGUUGCAAUAUCAUUUUUAAUAAAUGUUUUAGACAUUCAAAUUUAUUUUAAAUAAUGAAAUAUGUGUUUUCCACUCAUCUACUACAUUUUUAGUCGGGUUCGAAAAAUUUUGAGGAAAAAUGACAAAAACGGCCUUAUGAGGCGAAAAUUAUUUCUCCACGAUUUUGAAAGGGAAAAAGCUUAAAAUUCUUUAAAAACGAGGUUUCGCGAUGAUUACUCACAGGGGAGCUGAGAAAAAUGGUACUAAAGCCUUACGAGAUUCCGGUUGGCACUUCGGGUAACAAAUGUCUACUAGGACGUCGUGGCGGUUGUCACGGGCCCAAAGGGAGUACCGGGUCAUGACAAUUUUAUUGGUAUCAGAGCUUUUGAUUUUAAAGAUAAGAGUUUUUGGUUUAAAAGUUAUUUGAAAAGCUAUAGUCCCAGUGUGGCCCAAGUUAAGUUAAGUUAAGUUAGGUUUGAUAGAAUAGAAUACGCGCAUCUGCAUAUAGAAUUUGGAGUUGUUUAGACUCGUUUUAUUUCUUCUUAUAGAUCUUAUGGGAGCAUAAGUCAUAGACAAGGAGCUAUAUGAACUCCUGUUCCUAGUAAUCCACUUCUUUGUUAAUGUCAUGGAAAGGUCAUAAGUAGGGUCGUUGUUCGAGUUUAAGAUGUUACCCGUGACACGAGCCAGUGUUAGAGAGAUCUUAAAAUGAAUGCUCUUAAUGAAAAAUUAAUGAAAUGAUAUAUCCCUCUGAUUAAGGAUGGAGAAAUUUGGAGUUGGACUAAUAGGCCGUGAUAAUUUAUUCAUUUGGUGGAGUUAUAAUUGAACUCAUGGUUGUCAAUCAGAAAAAGAUUUGGGGACUAUGAGAUUUCAAGAAUUGAUUGGACCUAUUAUAGUUCAUGGAUAUAAGCACAUGAAUUAACUCAAGAGUGAGUAUCAAUGAUUACUAUAAUUGAUGUGUGGUCAUGAAGUAAGAAGUUAGUAAACAAAUCUGUUCUAAGGAUGAGCUUGAACUUAGCUGUGCAUAGAAAAAGAGGGAGCCAAUGGAUUAAAGGACUAAAUAUGGAAUUGGUAGCUUGAGGUUAAAUGACUUGGAAAUGUCGAAUCUAUUCUAAGUGCCAUAUGAAGUUCUAUAAUUGAGACUGAUUACGAAUUACUUGAAAGAUCAAUUUAAAAGUUUAUUUUGUUCAAAGUGUGGUCUAUGAUACGAAUGAUCAGUCUUGAAGGUGAUCUCCCCAGAGUAAGGAAUUUUGAAAUGUGGAUGCUUGGAUAUACUCUAAGAGAGAGAACUUCUGCAUCCUACGUUUAAGACAACUUUGAUCUUAUGAUCGCAAAGGCAAGGUGUAAUAACUAAGUAAAUUUUUCGCUUAACAAAUGUGAUUGGUUAUUGAUGGAUAAAGUCAAGAUCUUAACAUUUAGUGGUGUACAAUUUGAUAAUUAUGUAUUUAAGAGUUAAUUGGAGACAAUUCCUUUAUUAAAUUUGCACUAAAUGCUAUGGUAAAGGCAUAUCAAUGUUAAUAUGGAAAUGUAUCCAGAAAUGAUCUUAACAUAUCACCAAAGGAGAAUUAAACAUGUUGAAAUUAAUGUUCUAAUAGUGUGCAUACGAUCGAAAGCUAGUUUGUAAGUUGUAGUUUUCAUGAUCAUGAAAUAUAUAAAGAUUAUCAAUAUAUGGACAUAUACUUGGAGUUGUAAUUUACAAGUUUGGAGUAUUUAAGAUAUGAUUAAAUGGAAUUGGCAUUAGUUAAGGUAUGUAAAUCUUCUAAUUAAAUUCUGUGGAGUAUGCAUGAUAGUAGAAUGGAGGAAUAUAGUGUCAUGAUACUAUAUGGUGAAGUUACUAUAUAAUAUGGAAAGAGUGUUCUAAAGUGAGAUUUAUUGACUGAUGAUAAGUGAUGGGCAAUCUGAGAUACAUGUAGCUAUGAAUAAAUUUGGAGAUUUUUACUUGAGCAAACUCGUACUAAAUGUUAUGGUAAAGAUAUAUGAAUGUUAGUGGCAAAAUAAAUACGUUAAAUCAAUGUUCUGAUCGCACAUUUGUGAUAGAAAAUUAGUCUUGGUAAUUGUGGUAUAGACUUAAAGGGAAGCCACACGAUUGUGAAUAAUUGAGGUAGUAGCUUUAAAGGUGGAAGAGUUGCUGGGAUAAAGUGAAUUUAAAUAGUUGCAACACCACAGUACUGACUAUCAAACUCUGUCACGUUAAGAACCCUUAAUGGCUAGAAAGCAAGAGUAAACUGUAAGCGACAUAAAGAUGAAGCUCACGAGUUGAAAUAUGGUUAUUGGUUUUGAUGUUAAGCUUUGUUGUUGGAGUCUUAAGUUCAUUAGGGAGGUACUAAGAUAAAGAUGAUGAGUGAAAUUAUAGAGUUUCUUUAUUGCCUUAUAUAUGGGCAUGUAAGAGAAAGAAAAGUUAGAGAGUUUUUGAUAUGGCUACAUAAAAAAAUAAAUUAACAUGUGGAGUGUUAAAAGGAAUAAUAUGUUGACUAAAGCCAAAUCUUAAGAAAUAAAGUGAAUCUUGUAAAAGGUUAAAGAGGAAUUGAGGGAACGGUUAGAUGAAUAUAUGAGAUGUUGAUAAGAGAUGUCAAUACCAAGUGAUGAAAGUGUGAAUGGCGAUUUCAAGAAUGAUAUAGCAAAUGAGUUUAUAUAGAAUAUUGUUAUGAGAAUGUACUAAUCUUGUCUUGACUUUGUUGAAAAGAAAAGAUUAGUGACAACACAAGUAAAUUACGGGGUAUGAUAGAAAGCCUUGGAGAUAAGUUGAAGCAUGAGUAGUUGGGCAUGCCUUUAUGGAAAUGAUAUACUUGGAGUAUGAAAGAGUAAAUAAGUGAUUAAGUGUUUCAAGAAUAUUUAAACAUCUUUGAGGAAGACUUAUAAAAUUAUACGAGAUUAGUAUGAGAUGUGUGAUUUUGAAAUUUGCUAAGGAGCCAAAUGGCUAAGUCACAAGUUAAUUGAUCAUAUGCUGUGAGGCAUAAGUCUAAGGUAGAUAUUCCCAAGGAAAUACUCAAGAAGAGUUUUGCUACGGAUUUUAUAGAAGCUAGCAUUAAAUUAUGUAGCUGUAAAGAGGAAGCCCUAAGUUGGAAGUGAAAUUCGUAUUGACAUUGAAAAGUACAUAGAAGAACCUUAUUUCAAGUCUUACAGUUUUAAGUACAAACUGCAUAUUGGUCUAGGGAGAAUGAUAUCACAUUAGUAUGGAAGAACAGAAUAAAGGAUGAAUGAAGAUAAUUUGGAUAAUGAAGCUUGAUAAUGAAAAUUUCCUAAGGUAAUAUGAAAAUUGGAGUUUGAAAAUGCAUAAGGCAUGCAUGAUUCGAAACAAUCUAAGUUUUUAAGAGACAUUUAGUAGGUGAGAUGUGAUUAAUGACAUUGUGAUGUGAGGAUAUAGCAUGAUAAAACUCAAGCAUAUGGUUGGAAAUGAUAUAAGUGAUAUGAAGUUAUACGCAAGUAUAAUAAGAAGGUUGACAUGCACUAUAAGAAUUAUUAUAUUGAAACUAGGAUUGGGAUGUGGAUGAAUAAAGGGGAAUGUAGUCCAAGGCAUGUGAACACAUGGAUCCCUAUACAUAAUGAGAGAUGUUGACAUUUGAAAAUGCAUGUACAUAUGUAUAUAUGAAAUUGAUAAUUUGACUAACUAAGGUGAAAAAUUGUUCUCAGUAAUUGGGAGAUUUUGAAAUAAUGUCCAGAGCGGUCAGUGAGCUAAAGUGUCAUCGGGCAUGCAAUAAACGAUUAAAGUUAUGAGUGACUUUGAAGGUAAACCUUGAAUUGUUUACGUUCUUAAUGGAACUCUAUUAAAGGAAGGGUAUGGACCAAUAUAAGAUGAAUGAAUUAAGGUUGAGAAAUUUGGCAUGGAGCAAAUUAAUAAAAUGAUGAUUAGGUAUACAUAAGUAAGAAUGAUAUGUGAUCGAAAUCGGUAUAAUUGAGAUGAAGUUAUGGUUCAAAUUUAAUAAGGGUGAUAAAGGUAUGCUUAGUGACUCGAUAUAAAAAAUCAUGAUUGUGAAAGGUAUUGCUGAUCUGGCUUCAAAGGAUGAUAAUUGCCAUAAAUAAAGCAUUUAAUUGAACUGAAGGUGAACGAGGUAAAUAAAUUGAAUGUCCCUAUAGAAGGAAAAAGGAAUAGGAUCAUAGAAGGAGAUUGAUAACGUAACAUCGACGUGAAUUCGAGGACGAAUUCUAUUUAAGUGGGGGAGAUUGAAAUGCCCCAUACUUUGAUAUGGAGAUAAAUAAAGUUGGUCGGAUGUGAAUUGAGGCAUAAUAAGGAACUUUGGGAACCAAGGAGAUAAGAUAAAAUUUUUAGAAUAAAAUAAUAUUAAAAUAUUAAUAUUUAGUCGAAUGUCGAAGUCAGUCAUGAAGAAGGAUCAUAUGGUUGAUCCAAGUGGGGGAGAAGAUGUCAAGCCUGACUUUGUAAAAUACUUGUCAUGACAUGCAUGUGAUUGACUGAAUGUUUACAUAUUAGGAGAGCCCCAAAAAAUCGACAAAAGUCGGUAUUGUACCUAGAGGUACAAUAAAGUUGAUUUAAGCCUCAAACUAGAUCAAAUAGAGAAUUUAAGAGGAAAUUAAGAAUUUUAAAGUCCCAGAAUGGUUUAAUAUGGUGAUUUGGAGUUCGAGAAUCAAUUUGGAGUCAAAUCGAAAAUUUCACUAUCUAGGGGUAAAAUGGUAAUUUUUCCACUGGAGGACAAAAUGGGAAAGUUUUUUCAAAGAUUUUGAUCAUAUUUGACUUAUUGGAGUGUGAUUUGAGGUUGAGAAGUGAAAAUUUGUAAUUUUUGUAUUUUUUAGAGAACAAGGGUAAAAUGGUAAUUUUACCACCCUAUGGGCAAAACAGUAAUUUUUCACCACCAGAACACUUGUCCAGCAUAUGAUUUUUAUCCAAAUUUAUCAUGGAUAAUUGAAGGAAUUUAUAUGGUGGAGAGAGAAAGCUUAAUAGAUAAGAAAUAAAAAUGGACCAAUGAAAUGGUGACACAUGGCAUAUUUAUAACCAUUAAAUAUUUAGCUUUAAAAUUAAUACAAAAUCAGCCCAUUUCUCAUUGAUAUGGCCGGCCAAAGAAGAACAAAGGAGGAAAGGAAAAAAAAACAAGAACCCUAGGUGGGAAAAUUGAAGAAAAAGUGUGGAAUUUCAAGGGAUUAAGCUAAUAAAGGUAAAAUUUCUUGAUUUUGACUUGUGAUUUACACUACCCAUGCUUUCUUUUUCAUUUUCCAUGGUUAGAUUUCAUGUUUUCAUGGUGAAUUCAUGGCUGGUUGGAAUGGGUAUGGAGAGAGAAUGAAGUUGGAUUGAUUUGAUUCUAAGUUAUGUUAGUGUUUUUAGUUAGUUUAUCAUGUCUAGAAAUAAACCAACAAGAAAAAUUCAGUUUCUCCCAUUACCCAUCAUUGGCCGAAUUUUCUAGGGAGGAUAUUGUGGCUGAAAUUGAUGAUAUUUCAUGAUAUUUUGGUGAUAUUUGAUGUUUGGUGAGGCUAGAAAUUAAAUGGGAAAUUUUGGUGUGAAAAUUUGAAUUUUUGCUUAACGUAUAGACAUGUGUGAUUAUUGACCCGAGACUGAUAAAUUGAAUCUCAUUCAUAGUCACUAAGGUAAUUUAGGUAUAAUUGGAGUGUAGAAAGUAAGAAGAAUUGAUUUGGAGUUAAAUUGAAGAUUUUAGCCGAUUAGACCGAGUAUAGUGUGACUUAGGUCGAAUAUCACAUUUAAGUGAUUAAUCGGACAUUUUGCAUCCCAUUGCAUGCAUUCUUUUAGAUUUAGAGAGCUUGAAAUAGUUUAUGAUAAAUUGACACAGUUUAUUGAAAUUCGUGUCACGUAUGAUGUAUAGGUGGUGAGCCCUCUAACAAGGGUAAAGAGUUGUGCCCGAAGAUCGAGAAUAGGAGUAUAUCGAACUCCUAGUAUAGUGAGUAACCUUACUAUCGUCUUAAUUAUCUAGAGUGGUUUUUAUUCGAUUUUGUGGAUUUUAUGGAAAAUGAGUUUAAAUGGUAAAUCUUUUUGUUUUACAAACAAAACGUGUUUAAAUAAAAUGAUUUUAUAAAUUGUCUUGAAAUUGAAUAAUGACUUUGAAAAUAGAGUAACUGGAGACCACUUGAGGUGUUGUAAAUUCAUGGUUUGAAUUGACUGGCUUAUGACAAUAUUUGCAUGAAUGGCUGAAUUGGUAUUUAUGUUGAAAUAUAUGAACUGUGUAUUUAGCCUUGAAAGGCUGUGAAUUACAAUAAUUGCCAUAUCAUGUUAUUGAAUUUUAUUGAUUGGUGGGAUAAUAAUGAGCUUACUGCAGUGGGCAGGUUUCCGUGGACCAGCCUAUUAGAGGGGCACUGUAAACCUCGUUAUAUCUUACCUCAGUAUGAGAGGCGCGAGUGGAUAACUCCUGAGGCUAACACUUUUAGAGUUCACUUCACGCCAAACCGCCAAGUGAGGGUGAACUCAGCCAACGCCAAGGAACGACUAUGUUUUCAAAAUAAAAACAGAAUUUAUGCAUACAUGACUUUUUAAUAGCCUUGGCGAACUCGGUUGGGAUAGCCCUCAAUCAAGGCAUCCCUAAUAACUGAGUAUGAGAAUGAUUUUUGGCACGAGCCAAGCUUUUCAGGAAAUCAUAAGCCUAGUUGUUUAUUUUGUUGAAAUAAGUUGAAAGGUAAUGAAAUUAGAGUAUGAUGAUUUAUUUUAAUUAUCUCCAUUUACUCGGGUUUAGAUAUUUUAGAUGGUAUUUGUUUACUCACUGGGAUUAUAUAAUCUCACCACCCUCAUUUCCAUACAUUUCAGGCUCAGGAUAGUGUAUAGAUAGCUGAUAUCGUCAAAGGCUAUAGUCGGCUUUACUACUCCAAAAACUGUAGGUUUACUGCCUUUGUGCACUUUUGUUCCUUGUGGGCCCACGAGUCACUGUAAAGUAAAUUUCAUAUCUCGGUUAUCUGUAUUGUAGGACGUAUGAAUUUAUUUAGCUUUUACCUUACAAAAAAAAUUAAUUACCGAUGACUAUAAAUAUUGUUUUACAAGAAAUUAGAAUAUUUUAUUGAAUAUUUUUAUUUUAUUCAAAUAGUUGCAAUAUCAUUUUCAAUAAAUGUUUUAGACACUCAAAUUUAUUUUAAAUCAUGAAAUAUGUGUUUUCCACUCAUCUACUACAUUUUUAGUCAGGUUCGAAAAGUUUUGAGAAAAAAUGACGAAAACGCUCUUGUGAGGUGAAAAUUAUUUUUUAACGGUUUUGAAAAGGAAAAAGCUUAAAUGUCAAACCCUGUUCUAUAAAAUAAUUACGACGUCAUUUACAUGCUUAAUAGAAUGUUUGCCUGUUUAGGAAGUUUGAGGAAUCGUUAAAAGACGAUAUUGCCCCUAAUGGUACCAUUAAGUCGAUUAAGCCUCGAACUAGUUCAAAUAGGAAUUUUGAGGUGAAAUUAAGAGUUUCACAGUUCAGGGAUGACUCAAAAUGGUAAUUCGGAGUUCGAGGAUCAAUUUGGAGUCAAACCAAAAUUUUCACUAUCUAGGGGUAAAAUGGUCAUUUGCCACUAGGGGACAAAAUGAGAAUUUUGAGAAAAGAUUUUUUUUUAGGCCCCAUUUAACUUAUUGGAGUAUGAUUUAAGUAUUGGAGUAUAAUUGGCGGAUUUGGCAGUGAAAAAGUUUAAUUCCGGUGAUUUCUGGAGUGUAGGGGCAAAAUUGUAAUUUUUCCAUCCAUGGACAAAAUUUGAGAUUUUGAGAGAAUUUAGAUCAAAUUUGACAAAUUGGAGAAUGGUAUGAGUAUAAGGGAUGAAAAUAUGUCUAUGGGCAAGUUUUUAGUUUUUGGGGUAAAAAUGUAAUUUUUGACUUUUAUGGGGGCAAAAGUGUAAAUUUCAAAAAUUAUUCCACCAAGACUUUGGAUAAGUCUGAGAAUUUUAUCUAAGCUAUGGAUAUGUGGGACAAGCGUAUGGUGAAAAUUUGGAAAUAAAUGGAUAGCUAGAAUUUAAGGAAUUAAUAAAACAAAAAAAAUGAAUAAAAUAAUAUUAUAUUAUUUUAGCCUUUAAAAAUGUCAAAAUUCCGGAAUUCUCAUCUUCUUCAGUUGUCCAAACCAGGAGAGAAAAAGGGGGAAAAGAAAUAAGAACCCUAGCUGAAACAAUUUGGGGAAAAUCAAGAGAAAUCAAGAAAUCAAGCAUUAAAAAGGUAAAUUUCAUCGAUUUUCCUUGUGAUUUUCACUACCCAUGCAUUUUUCUCUCAUUUUCAUGCAAAAUUAGAAAGUGGGUAUGGACACCCAUGCUGGCCAAACCUCCAUGGAUGAGUUUUGAACUUGAGUUUUGGUUGAUUUUAAUUGAAUUAAGCGAUUUUAGUUAGGUUAUAUUGAAAUAUAGCAAAAAUAAGCUAGAGAAAUAAUUUUUUCCCAUUGAAACCUAUUAUGCCGAAUUUUCUAGGAGAAUAUUGGCUGCUGAUCUUGAUGUUUAUUUGAGGAAUUAUGAUGAAUAAUGAUGAAUUAUGAGCCUAGAAAAAUAAUGGGAAUUUUUUGAGCAAAAAUACGAAUUUUUACCCAUUAGGGGUAUUUUUGUAAUUUGCUACCGGGACUGAUAAUUUGCACCACAUUGAGGAACAUUAAGUCAAUUUGGGUGCAAUCGAGGUAUAGAAACUGAAAAAAAUUAAUUUCGAGUUUAAACGGACGCGUAUAUCGAUUUAUCAAAUAAAAGACCGAAAUAGGCUAACAUCUUGUUUAGGCAAAAUUUAGACAUUUUGCACUUCAUAUCAUGCAUUAGUAGUAUAAAUUAGUUUAUUUUGGUUUAGUACCAAAUUAGUAAACCUCUUAAUUGUGCAAUUUGUCAAGGUGGCGAAUCCUCUAACAAGGGCAAAGAAAUCGCACUCAAGGAGUAAUAGUUGGAGUACCCGAAUUUAGUUUUCAGAAACUGUGAGUAAACUUAUUAUUAUCUUAAUCAUCUAAAGUAGUUUUAUACAAUUGUGUGAUUUUAUGGAAAAUGGGUUUAAAUGGUAAAUUGCUAUGUUUUAAGAGAAAUUGUGAUUUUAUAAAAUGAUUUUAUAAAUUUUCUGGAAAAUCGAAUGCUGGUUUUGAAAAUAGAGUAAUUGGAGACUGCCUGCUUGUGUUGUAAAUUUAUGGUUUUAAAUUGAAUGGCUUAUGACAAUAAAUGAGCAAGAAUGGCUAAACUGAUUUUGGUGUUAGAAUUAUUUGUACUGUGUAUUUAGCCUUGAGAGGCUAGGUUGCGAUAAAUUGCCAUGUCAUUCAGAAAAAGAUUUCAUAAAUCAGGUGGUAGAUAAAAGAUUAGCUACUGCAGUGGUGGGGGGUUCCGUGGGCCAGCCUAUUAGAGGGGCACGGUAAACUCCUUUAUAUUCUCACAUCAGUCGUAGAGGCAUGUAGGGUAUCUCUUGAGGUGGGCUUUUUGAGUGCACUUCACGUGGACUACCGCGUGAGAGUGAGACUCAGCCAACGCCAAGGAACGGCUAUGUUUCAAAAUAAAAAUAUGAUUUAUGCGAAAUAUGAAUUUUAACAGCCUUGGCGGACUCGGUUGGAUACCCUUGGUCCAGGUGUCCCCGAGUACAGGAUUUGGCAUGAGCCAAGUUUUGAGUAAUUCACGAGCCAUAUUGAUUAUUUGGUUGAAAUGAAUAUUCGUGAUGUGAAAAAUUUGCUGAAAUGAAUUAUUUUUAAUUGUCUCCCUUUACUCGCCUUUAGAUAGUUUAGAUGGUGUUUGUUUACUCACUAGGAUUUUAUAAUCUCACCACCCUCAAUUCCCCACAUUUCAGGUUCGGGAUAGCCGGUAGAUAGCCGAUUGCAUCAAGGACUUCAGUUAGCCUUGAAUUGUCAAAAUUAUAGGUUCACAGACUCGCAUCUUAUUGGUUAGUUGGGGGCCCACGUGUCAUUGUAAAAGUAAUUUGAUACUUUAGUUAUUUGAUUUAAAAUAUGUAUGAACAUAUUUAGCUUUUACAUCGUGUUUUUGGCGGGUUUCGGUAUUUUCGAAGAAAAAUGACGAAAAUGCCCCUGUGAACCAAAAAAUAAUAUUUUAUUAUUUUAAUUUGGAAACGACUUAUGAUUUCUUGAAAUGCAAGAUUUAAUAACUGUCGCUCACUGAGCAGAUGCGGAAGCUGAUGCUAAGCCUUGCGGGGUUCCGAUCGGCAUUCGGGGUAAUGAGUGCCUAUCGGGACGUCGCAGCGAUUGUCACGGGCCCGAUGGGAGUUCCGAGUCAUGACAUUAAAAUUCUUUAAAAACGAGGUUUGGCAAUGAUUACUCACAAGGGAGAUGAGAAAAAUGGUACUAAAGCCUUGCGGGGUUCCGGUUGGCACUCUGAGUAACGAAUGUCUAUCGGGACAUCGAGGCGGUUGUCACGGGCUCGAGGGGAGUACCAGGUCAUGACAUUACAUGUUUCCAUAAUCUUAUCCUCAAAUGUUGAUGGAUAAUUAUAUUUAACUUGUACUACUAAUGCUUUAUUUUACUAUCAAUGUCUCUUUUCAUUAAUCAUACACUUUACUUUUUUUUUCUUUUUUGAUAUAACAAAAAGAGGGAGAAAUCUAGUUCUAUAGUGUAAUAGUUGAGUUUCCAAGGCUUAUACUCGAGUUUAUCUUCUUGUAGUCAAAUUAUUCUCCUUCUCUAGUUGAUUCUCACACCAAAUAUCUUUUCAUGCCACCACCAAAACAAUGUACGCUCAUUGCUCAAAAAGGUUAGGGAAGCUCUUCAAACAUGACUCGGUUUCAACCACUAAAUUUUCUCACCAACGAGGACUAUGAAUGCUACAAGAAAUCUUUCACCUCAAAGAUUGCCAAUCACAAUCGAGUAAUAUAUAUUAAAUUUCUUGAAGAAUUUGGUUUCUUGUACAUUGAAAAUUUUAGAGUCUUAGGGUGGUAUAAUUAUUUGAGCUUCAACAUUCUUAUAUAUGAAAAGUUAGUCUAAGUUUUCUACAAUAAUGGAAAUGUAACCUAUAAGGAUGAGAGUAAUGCACUACAUACCUAUGAAAAGGCUUUCAUCACUUAUAUCAUGGGUAGAUUAUUUAAGAUAUUCUUUUAGAUGAUUAAAGAGGUCUUUGAGCUUAAUUAUGCACCUGAUGCGUUGACCAGCAUUAGUGAUAAUUUAGUGAUACAAGAUUUAAAAUGAGAACUAUAUGUGAACAAUAUCAGUGCUCCUAACUCAGUUACUAGGCUAUCCAUGAUGGAUAGAAUACUGCACUUAAUAGUUAGCUAGACCUUAAGACUUGUACCUAGUAAACAUUCAUCGAUGAUUGGAGAAGACUUGUGGUUUUUGCAUCACAUCAAGGCACAAACUCCAAUUGAUCUUGCUAGCUUCAUCUUUGUUGACAUGAACAAAAUUGUUGUUGGUACCAGAACAAGCCUCAUGUAUGGUCACGUCAUCACACGUUUGCUAUAGAAAUUUCACAUCAAUAUGUCCAUGGAUGAUGCAGUCUCAUAACCCAAGAUCAAACAUCUUGAUAGAGCAACCAUGUCUAGGAUGGGUUAUAAUGAGAAUGCUGAGACUGGCACUUGGGUUCAUAAAAGGAUGCACCAAAGAGAAGCUGGUUGUCACGACCCGGUACUCCCCUCGAGCCCGUGACAACCGCCGCGGUGUCCCGGUAGACACUUAUUGCCCGAAAUGUCAACCCGAAACCCCGUAAGGCUUUACUAUCAGUUUCUUUGUUCCCUUGUGAGCAACCAUUGUCAAAUAUCGUGUUCUAAAAUAUUUUAAGCUGUUUCCAACUUUAAACAAAUAAAAUAUUAAUUUUUUGUCUCACAAGGGUAUUUUGGGUCAUUUUUCUCAAAAAUUUAAAAACUGGCUAAAACGUAAUAGACAAGUACAAAACACACAAUUCAUAUUCAAAAUGAGUUUAAAAGUCUAAAUCUUCAUUAAAACGAAAUUACGGUUAUUAGAAUAUAAUAAGAAAAUAAAAAAAAAAAAAAAAAAAAAAAAAAAAAAAAAAAAAAAAAAAAAAAAAAAAAAAAAAAAAAAAAAAAAAAAAAAAAAAAAAAAAAAAAAAAAAAAAAAAAAAAAAAAAAAAAAAAAAACAAUUAAAAAAAAAAAAAAGAGAAAACAAACGAGAUGUUGGGCUCAAAAACCACACACAACACCUUGAUUUAAGAAGCUGUAUAUGAACAUGAAAAGACUGGCCGACGAAAAGAAUGCCUGGAAUUACUGUACAGGCCGGAGAUCGUGCUUCAAAGUUUAAACGACUAAC